GACGAACGCUGGCGGCGUGCUUAACACAUGCAAGUCGAACGGAAAGGCCCUGCUUGCAGGGUACUCGAGUGGCGAACGGGUGAGUAACACGUGGGUGAUCUGCCCUGCACUUCGGGAUAAGCCUGGGAAACUGGGUCUAAUACCGGAUAGGAGCCAUUUUUAGUGUGAUGGUUGGAAAGUUUUUUCGGUGUAGGAUGAGCUCGCGGCCUAUCAGCUUGUUGGUGGGGUAAUGGCCUACCAAGGCGGCGACGGGUAGCCGACCUGAGAGGGUGGACGGCCACAUUGGGACUGAGAUACGGCCCAGACUCCUACGGGAGGCAGCAGUGGGGAAUAUUGCACAAUGGGCGCAAGCCUGAUGCAGCGACGCCGCGUGGGGGAUGACGGCCUUCGGGUUGUAAACUCCUUUCGCUAGGGACGAAGCUUUUUGUGACGGUACCUAGAUAAGAAGCACCGGCUAACUACGUG
Molecule: ribosomal RNA, 465 nt
Filed under: uncultured bacterium
Lineage: Bacteria
Description: partial 16S ribosomal RNA
Rfam family: Bacterial small subunit ribosomal RNA
Source: RNAcentral